This 90-nucleotide transfer RNA is filed under the name Xylaria intraflava. RNAcentral describes it as "tRNA-Phe". It matches the Rfam family "tRNA". Rfam says of the family: Transfer RNA (tRNA) molecules are approximately 80 nucleotides in length. Their secondary structure includes four short double-helical elements and three loops (D, anti-codon, and T loops). Further hydrogen bonds mediate the characteristic L-shaped molecular structure. tRNAs have two regions of fundamental functional importance: the anti-codon, which is responsible for specific mRNA codon recognition, and the 3' end, to which the tRNAs corresponding amino acid is attached (by aminoacyl-tRNA synthetases). tRNAs cope with the degeneracy of the genetic code in two manners: having more than one tRNA (with a specific anti-codon) for a particular amino acid; and 'wobble' base-pairing, i.e. permitting non-standard base-pairing at the 3rd anti-codon position. Lineage: Eukaryota; Fungi; Ascomycota; Sordariomycetes; Xylariales; Xylariaceae. The record is from RNAcentral.
GCGGGGAUAGCUCAGUUGGGAGAGCGUCAGACUGAAGUGACACUUCAUUCGUUAAUCUGAAGGUCGUGUGUUCGAUCCACACUCACCGCA